RNAcentral lists this ribosomal RNA (653 nucleotides) under Bacillus sp. (in: firmicutes). RNAcentral describes it as "bacterial SSU rRNA". It matches the Rfam family "Bacterial small subunit ribosomal RNA", at positions 711 to 1365 of the family's 1533-position model. The record is from RNAcentral. Lineage: Bacteria; Bacillati; Bacillota; Bacilli; Caryophanales; Bacillaceae.
AGUGGUGAAGGUGUUUUGUUGGUUAGUAACUGACAGUGAGGUAAGAAAGCGUGCGAGCAAACAGGAUUAGCUAUCUUGGUCGUCCACGUAGUAAAUGAUGAGUACUAAGUGAAAGAGGGUUUCCGUCUUUUAGUGCUGAAGUUACCGCAUUAAGCACUCCGCCUGGGGAGUACGGCCGCAAGGCUGAAACUCAAAGGAAUUGACGGGGGCCCGCACAAGCGGUGGAGCAUGUGGUUUAAUUCGAAGCAACGCGAAGAACCUUACCAGGUCUUGACAUCCUUUGACAACCCUAGAGAUAGGGCUUCUCCUUCGGGAGCAGAGUGACAGGUGGUGCAUGGUUGUCGUCAGCUCGUGUCGUGAGAUGUUGGGUUAAGUCCCGCAACGAGCGCAACCCUUGAUCUUAGUUGCCAUCAUUUAGUUGGGCACUUUAAGGUGACUGCCGGUGACAAACCGGAGGAAGGUGGGGAUGACGUCAAAUCAUCAUGCCCCUUAUGACCUGGGCUACACACGUGCUACAAUGGACGGUACAAAGAGCUGCAAGACCGCGAGGUGGAGCUAAUCUCAUAAAACCGUUCUCAGUUCGGAUUGUAGGCUGCAACUCGCCUACAUGAAGCUGGAAUCGCUAGUAAUCGCGGAUCAGCAUGCCGCGGUGA